This is an unclassified non-coding RNA of Macaca mulatta (Rhesus monkey), 148 nucleotides long. It matches the Rfam family "Metazoan signal recognition particle RNA". From Rfam's summary of the family: The signal recognition particle (SRP) is a universally conserved ribonucleoprotein. It is involved in the co-translational targeting of proteins to membranes. The record is from Ensembl. NCBI's taxonomy places the organism in Eukaryota, Metazoa, Chordata, Mammalia, Primates, Cercopithecidae.
GCCAGGUGUAGUGGCCUGCACCUGUAGUCCUAGCUAUUCUGGAGGCUGAGAUGGGAGCAUCGCUUGAGCCCAGGUGUCCUGCGCUGCAGUGAGCUACGACUGUACCACUGCACUUUAGCCUGGGUGACAGAGCGAGACCAUGUCUCUU